CAGACAGCUAGGAGGUCCUGGGAAGGCAGCGGGGCCCUGGUGGGGCUGCAGCCCAGGCAGUGUCUUCCACCAUCAGGGCAAAGCGUCUGCAGACUGUGGGAUGAACAGGGCAAGGAGAAGCGCUACAAGGAAGUGGAGGGACACAAGGGGUCCCCAGACAAGAAAGAAUUGCCACCUGCUCUGCACACGCCAUGGCAGCUCCACGGCUGGGCCACGCCAGAGAGGGUGGGAGGAGGCGGCUGUGUUCGCCCUGCCCAGAUGCCACUGGGAAGCACCACGGCCAUAACCAGACCCUCACUACCAAAGUUAAAUUGUUUUAUUACUUCAAAUAAAAUACUUUUAUUACUUCAGUAA
Microcebus murinus (gray mouse lemur) is the source of this 354-nucleotide non-coding RNA. Lineage: Eukaryota; Metazoa; Chordata; Mammalia; Primates; Cheirogaleidae. The record is from RefSeq and is a predicted model, not a curated record.